CAUUACGGAAGUAUCGUUGUCUGUUAUACAAUUUUAUAACAAAAAGAAAAGAAAACAAACGAUCGCUUGUUUUUAUACCUAUAAAAAGCGCAUACUUACAUACUAAAGUAACAAAAUAACAAAACAGGCGCAUAUUAAAGAAAGAAAGAAAAAAAGAAGAGCUCCUUUUCACGGAUUCAAAUAAUAUAAUUAUAAGAAUGAUGAAAUACUUGCCUGGAUAUUUAUUUCGGUGAUCGCAAUUAGGAUAAUCAAUUUGAAGAUGGUCACGUUUAUUGUUCUCUAAUUUAUUAACGAUGGAAUAUAUUCCUCGUCUGUGAUGUAAUACCAUGUCGCUCUCCCCACGAUACUUAAGUCUGUAAUAUAAUGUUAUCAUAUA
Molecule: long non-coding RNA, 376 nt
Organism: Vespa crabro (European hornet)
Lineage: Eukaryota; Metazoa; Arthropoda; Insecta; Hymenoptera; Vespidae
Exons: 2
Source: RefSeq, a predicted model, not a curated record